AGAUCUCUUACGGGGUCACCGAAAAACGUGUGUUUUUACGUGUGUCCCUGCCCUUAACUCGGGGAUACCCCUGGAAAACUGGGUCUAAUACCAGAUAUGACUCCUCAUCGCAUGGUGGGGGGUGGAAAGCUUUUGUGGUUUUGGAUGGACUCGCGGCCUAUCAUCUUGUUGGUGAGGUAAUGGCUCACCAGGGCGACCACGGGUACCCGGCCUGAGAGGGUGACCGGCCACACUGGGACUGACACACGGCCCACACUCCUACGGGAGGCAGCAGUGGGGAAUAUUGCACAAUGGGCGGAAGCCUGAUGCAGCGACCCCGCGUGAGGGAUGACGGCCUUCGGGUUGUAAACCUCUUUCAAUAGGGAAGAAGCGAAUGUGACGGUACCUGCAAAAGAAGCGCCGGCUAACUACGUGCCAGCAGCCGCGGUAAUACAUAGGGCGCAAGCGUUAUCCAGAAUUAUUGGGCGUAAAGAGCUCAUACGCGGUUUGUCGCGUCUGCCGUGAAACUCCGGGGCUCAAC
This 520-nucleotide ribosomal RNA is filed under the name Arthrobacter sp. RNAcentral describes it as "bacterial SSU rRNA". It matches the Rfam family "Bacterial small subunit ribosomal RNA", at positions 77 to 613 of the family's 1533-position model. The record is from RNAcentral. RNAcentral also lists the same sequence under 1 other name. Lineage: Bacteria; Bacillati; Actinomycetota; Actinomycetes; Micrococcales; Micrococcaceae.